UUUCCGUAGGUGAACCUGCGGAAGGAUCAUUACAACAAGGUUCCCUGGCCCUCGAAGCUUCGGCGGAGGGGCGCUACAGCCUGACUUUAUACCCACCCUUUGCCUAUGUGUACCCCUAUUGCUUCCCUCGGCGGGUUCGCCCGCCGACAGGAACCAACUAAACCCUUUGCAUUAUACAUUUAACACUUCCGAUACAAAACUAAAUUAUUACAACUUUUAACAAUGGAUCUCUUGGUUCUGGCAUCGAUGAAGAACGCAGC
This 260-nucleotide unclassified non-coding RNA is filed under the name uncultured fungus. RNAcentral describes it as "sequence contains ITS1, 5.8S rRNA gene". The stretch from base 212 to 260 matches the Rfam family "5.8S ribosomal RNA", at positions 1 to 49 of the family's 154-position model. Lineage: Eukaryota; Fungi. The record is from RNAcentral.